UACGUAGGGUGCGAGCGUUGUCCGGAAUUAUUGGGCGUAAAGAGCGUGUAGGCGGCUUGAUAAGUCUGCUGUGAAAGUCCAGGGCUCAACCCUGGAAGGCCGGUGGAAACUGUCGGGCUAGAGUCCGGAAGAGGCGAGUGGAAUUCCCGGUGUAGCGGUGAAAUGCGCAGAUAUCGGGAGGAACACCAAUGGCGAAGGCAGCUCGCUGGGACGGUACUGACGCUGAGACGCGAAAGCGUGGGGAGCAAGCAGG
RNAcentral lists this ribosomal RNA (253 nucleotides) under uncultured bacterium. RNAcentral describes it as "partial 16S ribosomal RNA". It matches the Rfam family "Bacterial small subunit ribosomal RNA", at positions 524 to 776 of the family's 1533-position model. The record is from RNAcentral.